Heterocephalus glaber (naked mole-rat) is the source of this 3404-nucleotide non-coding RNA. The record is from RefSeq and is a predicted model, not a curated record. Lineage: Eukaryota; Metazoa; Chordata; Mammalia; Rodentia; Bathyergidae.
CGAGCGGGCGCGGUGCCCUGCCUCCCCUCCCUGGCCGCGGCUCGGCCCGAGGCUGCUGCGCGGCCGCGAGCGGGCGAGCAGGCGGGCGGCCGGGCUGAACGGCUAGAGCGCCCCGCUCUCCUCCGAGUCCCCCUCACUCCGACACGAGGCUCAGCACUGCCAUUUUACCCAGCGCCGUCGCGGCCGCCUGGAAAACCCGGAGUGGAGCGCGGAGCGGGCGCCGGCUGUGGAACGGACUCGCUCCCUUCCCCUCACAAAGAAGGAGGGGAGAGAACGAACCGCGGCGGCGGCAGGCCCUCAGCCGCUCUCGCUGGGCUGCGCCGCCGCCGGAGGCUUCGGGGAAAACCCGGCCCGGAGCUCGCGCCUCUCCGGAGCCCGCGCCGCCUCCCUCGCGGCGUUCCUGUCCUGGCCUGUCCCCUCCCGGCCGCACCGAGAGGAGCGGGCAGCGUGAACUUUACCCGCGCCUGCAAAAUUGGCCAGAGCCCGAGACCGCGGCCGCUUUGGCCCAAGCCUGACACCCCCCCACACACACCUGGCAGCGGGCCUGGUUUCUUGGCUGCUACUUAGCACCUCUACAGCACUUUUCUUCAAAGCCUUUUGCAGACUUUCUCUAAAGACCCUGCUUUUCACCCCCUUUGGCAAGCCCGAAGGAAGGACUGAUCUUUGUUCAGACUAUCAGUUUUCCUCUGCUCUGUCCACGUUAGCUGGUCCUGACAAGGCCCUGAGGGCAAGAGGUCCAGAUUAUCCCAGUUUUACAGAAUUGAAAGACAAAGGGAGGGGACUGCCCAGGUCUCCUAAAAGUCAGAGGUCAGAGGAAAGUGGCUAUAAGAAGAAGUGAAGUCUCCAAAACUGCCUCCUGUAUACUUAGCCUUUAAAAAGAAAAAAGGAAAGUAUUCAAGUUGUGAGCAAAUCCAACAGUGAGCAGAGUGGCAGAAAGGGUUCGAAAUCGAACUGGUCAUCUCACCACUGACUUCAAAUGGUAGCCUCUGAAGCUGCUUUGGGGACAGAGUCAAGCAGUCCAAACUCCAUUAUCACUUCCUAAGAGAACUUAUAGCUCGAAAUGACCAGUGCAUCAUUUCCAAAGACAGUACCUGAAAGUAUAAACAGCCCAGAAAAGAGGCUCCGUGGACUGCUGGAACGAUUGCCCUAAAUUGCCCUGGCCAGCUUCGAACUUGCCAUCCUCAUGCUUUAGCCUCCGGAGAAGCUGGAAUUACAGGUGUGCCCUUAGUUUUUCUAAACGUAGACUUCUUGGCCACAGACCAUUAUCUGAGCCCUGUUGAGUUCUGUGUCUGUGAUCAACAUGAAUAAUUUCAAACUCCCAAAUUUCUCCCAAGAAAACUAAGAACAUCCUACUCUAUAAAGGCAAAGCCUUCCUGUCAGUGUAAAGAAGUGAGAUUUCCCCAGCCCAGAGCCAAACCAGCCUUCCCAGGAGAUCCAACUGACUGGUGUGGGCCAGUGCCCUCCUUUUACUCACAGCCCUCAGGGGGCAACAACUCUCCUGGUGCAUUAGGUCCUAGAAAAGCAAAUUAUAGGCUGCCUCAUAAAUGGAGCUUGGCUAUUUAAUCAAUUGCCUCAGAGCUGGCAAACAGUCCUGAGUCCUGCACACAAAUGAGGAAUUUUUUAUAUGCAAUUACCCUGCCAUUUUCCUGAGAGCUGGGAUGUAAUGGGAAACCAGGAGCCCAGUGAAAAUCUGGAAAGCAGAAUGGGUUUGUCUCCAAAGAAUGCCCUCAUCGCUUUCCUUCAACGGCUGUGAAGUACGGAAAGCGCCAAAAUCCCUUUCCCUAAAUGAGGGCACGGUGUUUUGAAGAGAAAAAAAUUCAUUUUAAUCUAGCACUAAGGUAUAAGUGCACAGAAAUCCGUCCACUUGGGUCGGAAGUGUUAAUGCGGGAUUUCUCCUUUCCCACUUUUUUUUUUUUAGGCGAUCUAAGGUAUUUUCCCGCUCCCAUUUUUAGAGACCCACACCUUUAACCCAGGACCGCUGGGCUGAGGAACUUUCUUAGAAACUGGCCCAUCCGCUUUCCCUAGGGGCACCGGAGACGCGGGAGGGGGAGGGGAGGAGCCGGGCACGUGGCUGGCCCGAGCUGCGAGACCCCGACUAGAGGCAGUGGGUCCUCCUCUCGGUGGAGUUUUUUCCCCCACGGCCCCUGCCUUUUAACCCCACACCUAGGCAGCUCAGGAAUCCCGGCACAGAUUAGAGAACUAGGACUAGGACAGCGCACCCCUCGCGAAAGCGCCUCUGCCACCAACAACAGCCUGAUGGCAAAUAUGGACUGAAUCGUUGACAUGGAAACCGGACUAAAGUCUCGCUCGCUCUUCCUCACAGGAGAAUUUUAUCAUCUAGCCAGUCCGCAAGGCAUUCGGCAAACGCGGACUGGAUCUCCGGCCGCGCGGAUCAGGUGGAGUUUCGGGGCCCAGGAACUCCAGUGGCUGCGGCCGCCAAGGAAGGGGGCAGGGCUGCCGGGACCCACCGGCUGAAAAUGGCAGAGGAUGUGCUCUUCAUUUUAUCAGGCUACACAGCGUGCUAUGGAUUGGGCCCAAGCCUAAAGGGAUGACCUAUGAAAAUCCCACACAGUCAACUGCAAAAUGUGGAAACAGGGCCUGGAGGCUUUGCUAGGAGAGCGGAACGCACGCAGGGAGGACGGUCCUUCCUGUCAGACCGUUUGUUUCCCCUCAACGUCUGAAAUAACAAAAUUCCUCAAAUCAACAAAAACUGGGGGUCGUCUCUCCAGCCCCGGCCCCCACUCCGUCUUAAACCUAGGGACCCCAGGGCGGGCCGCGUGGAGCUCUGGCUGAGGAGCGGAGCGUCGGCGCGGCUCGGAGCUGUGGCCCCCAGCAGGCUCCCGCCGCGACCCAGAGGCAGACGCCCAGCCGAGCGAGCGCUCCCAAGUGCGAACUGGAGCGGCGAGUUUGAGCAAAAGGGCAACUGUGUCAGUUGACGGAAGCCAGAAGUAGAGUUCAAAGCCUGGCGUGGAUUUCUGUCUGGAGCCGUCUGUUUCUUAAAGUUUGUAACUCCGUGUUAAGAAACAGCGCCAGCGGAGGCUUUGGGAUCAGUGUGAAAGUCUAGCAGUACCAUCUGACAGCGAGCUGCAAAACUUUGGGCUGCAUAUUAAGCGAGGAAAGUGGAUUGAAGCGAGAGUCAAGGGGAUGUAUUUUCUUCCCGGCUCCCAGGCAAGAGCAGUAAAAUACGAACUGGAUUAGCACGGAGAAAAAAUGGAAUGGAGUCCGAAUGGCUCUCAAAAGCUCUUCGCGGUAAAAUUGUGCCUGGCAAGGACCUGGGUACCCAAAAGAGAGAACCAGGAGAUCUCAAGCUUGGUGGACACACAACAGCAGCUUUUCUAGAUCCCUUUUCCGCUGGAAAGCCUUAAUAAACAAUUUAGGAGAAUGUACAUUUGAAGAAAUGCUAA